GACGAACGCUGGCGGCGUGCUUAACACAUGCAAGUCGAACGGAAGGGCACUGCUUGUGUGCUGUUCUCGGGGGGCGAACGGGGGAGGAACACGAGAGUAACCUGCCCUUGACUUUGGGAUAGCUUCAGGAAACUGGGGCUAAUACCGGAUAGGAGCUCCUGCUGCGGGGUGGGGGUUGGAAAGUUUCGGCGGGUGGGGAUGGACGCGCGGCUGACCAGCUUGUUGGUUGGGGAGUGGUUUGCCGAGGCUUGGACGGGUAGCCGGCCUGAGAGGGUGACCGGCCACAUGGCGACUGCGAUACGGACCAGACUGCUACGUGAGACAGUAGUCGGGAAUAUUGCCCAGUGGGAGCACGUGUGAUGAGGAAGCGUUGGGUGUGGGAAGCCGGCUUGCGGGUUGUAAACCGCUUCAGCCUGUGACGACGCGUGAGUGACGGUACUGGGUAAAGAAGCACCGGCUAACUACGUG
Molecule: ribosomal RNA, 468 nt
Filed under: uncultured bacterium
Lineage: Bacteria
Description: partial 16S ribosomal RNA
Rfam family: Bacterial small subunit ribosomal RNA
Source: RNAcentral